GUGGGCAGCAGCAACUGGCGAAGAGCCAGGUAGCUGCCGUCCCCCCUCCUCUCGUUACCCCAUUCUCUCCAGUGGAGGCGAGGAGAGCAGCGAGCAGCUCCACAGGCAAGGACAGCCAGUAGUCGACGCCAAGCCAUCUCCCUCCACCUCUCGUUCCUCUUCUUUUUGCAGGAUUAGGAGCAGCAACAGCAAAACUCCGGCCACCAGCUCCGACAGCAGCAAGCAGCAGCGAGAACAUGCGAUAGACGAGUAGGCUCCAACCAGAAAUGGGAGGUAAAUCAACAGAUAAGGCGAAUCUUUU
RNAcentral lists this unclassified non-coding RNA (301 nucleotides) under Hevea brasiliensis (rubber tree). The record is from RNAcentral. Lineage: Eukaryota; Viridiplantae; Streptophyta; Magnoliopsida; Malpighiales; Euphorbiaceae.